GCAAACUUGGUCAUUUAGAGGAAGUAAAAGUCGUAACAAGGUUUCCGUAGGUGAACCUGCGGAAGGAUCAUUAAAGAGAAUAUGCCCUUCGGGGUAGAUCUCCCACCCAUUGCAUUAAUACCUCGUUGCUUUGGCAGGCCCGUCUUCCGACCACCGGCUUUGGCUGGUCCGUGUCUGCCAGAGGAUUGAAAAUUCAAUCUUUUCUGUUUUCCGAGUUCAUAUUUAAAUCGUUAAAACUUUCAACAACGGAUCUCUUGGUUCUGGCAUCGAUGAAGAACGCAGC
This 283-nucleotide unclassified non-coding RNA is filed under the name uncultured fungus. Its description in RNAcentral is "partial contains small subunit ribosomal RNA, internal transcribed spacer 1, and 5.8S ribosomal RNA". The stretch from base 1 to 73 matches the Rfam family "Eukaryotic small subunit ribosomal RNA", at positions 1759 to 1831 of the family's 1831-position model. The record is from RNAcentral. Lineage: Eukaryota; Fungi.